AUACGGAGGGGGCAAGCGUUGUUCGGAAUUACUGGGCGUAAAGGGCGCGUAGGCGGAUUAUCAAGUCAGAGGUGAAAGCCCUGGGCUCAACCUGGGAACUGCCUUUGAAACUGAUAGUCUUGAGUCCGAGAGAGGAUGGCGGAAUUCCCAGUGUAGAGGUGAAAUUCGUAGAUAUUGGGAAGAACACCAGUGGCGAAGGCGGCCAUCUGGCUCGGUACUGACGCUGAGGCGCGAAAGCGUGGGGAGCAAACAGGAUUAGAUACCCCGGUAGUCC
This 274-nucleotide ribosomal RNA is filed under the name uncultured bacterium. Its description in RNAcentral is "partial 16S ribosomal RNA". It matches the Rfam family "Bacterial small subunit ribosomal RNA", at positions 523 to 796 of the family's 1533-position model. The record is from RNAcentral.